Molecule: ribosomal RNA, 253 nt
Filed under: uncultured bacterium
Lineage: Bacteria
Description: partial 16S ribosomal RNA
Rfam family: Bacterial small subunit ribosomal RNA
Source: RNAcentral
UACGUAGGGUGCGAGCGUUAAUCGGAAUUACUGGGCGUAAAGGGCGCGUAGGCGGCUAGGCAAGUCAGGUGUGAAAGCCCCGAGCUUAACUCGGGAAUUGCAUCUGAAACUGCUGUGCUUGAGUUCUGGAGGGGGUAGUGGAAUUCCCAGUGUAGCGGUGAAAUGCGUAGAUAUUGGGAGGAACACCUGCGGCGAAGGCGGCUACCUGGACAGAAACUGACGCUGAGGCGCGAAAGCUAGGGGAGCGAACGGG